CACGUAGGGCGCAAGCGUUGUCCGGAAUUAUUGGGCGUAAAGAGCUCGUAGGCGGUGUGUCGCGUCGGCCGUGAAAACCUGUGGCUUAACCAUGGGCUUGCGGUCGAUACGGGCAUCACUGGAGUUCGGCAGGGGAGACUGGAAUUCCUGGUGUAGCGGUGAAAUGCGCAGAUAUCAGGAGGAACACCGGUGGCGAAGGCGGGUCUCUGGGCCGAUACUGACGCUGAGGAGCGAAAGCGUGGGGAGCGAACAGG
This 254-nucleotide ribosomal RNA is filed under the name uncultured bacterium. RNAcentral's name for it is "partial 16S ribosomal RNA". It matches the Rfam family "Bacterial small subunit ribosomal RNA", at positions 524 to 776 of the family's 1533-position model. The record is from RNAcentral.